Oncorhynchus nerka (sockeye salmon) is the source of this 2129-nucleotide RNA transcript. It is a transcript of the gene named protein phosphatase methylesterase 1-like, with no coding region annotated. The transcript has 16 exons. Lineage: Eukaryota; Metazoa; Chordata; Actinopteri; Salmoniformes; Salmonidae. The record is from RefSeq and is a predicted model, not a curated record.
GAAUGCAAUGUGGCAAUUGGCAAACGGGUAAUGUUGUGGGACAAUAAACACAUUUAGCUGUUGUCAAUUUAUAGCUGCUAAUAGCUGACUGGUGCUGGAAGAACAUCGUAUGGUUCGAAGGAGGGGGAAGAUUUGUAUUUGACUGAACGGCCUUGGCCCCGCGUUCGACAGCAUGGAGAAACAGUUGCAUUUGAAUGUGUUAGCUUCCAGACCUCCCGUUUCAGGAGGCUUGCAGUCGCGGUCUAAAAUGAGAAUGGGACCUGGACGGAAGAGAGACUUCUCCCCUCUCUCCUGGAGUGAAUACUUUGAAGCGAUGGAAGAUGUAGAAGUGGAAAACGAUAACGGCAAAGAUACGUUCAGAAUCUACUGCAGCGGCCAGCAUGGUCCUGUGCUGCUCCUGCUCCAUGGAGGAGGCCACUCUGCUCUCUCCUGGGCUGUGUUCACUGCGGUGAUAUACAACAGAAUUAACUGCCGGGUGGUGGCUAUGGACCUCCGGGCCCAUGGUGACACCAAAGUAAAGAAUUCUGACGAUCUCUCAGCGGAAACAAUGGCCAAAUGGGAGGAAACCGGACGGGACCUGAGGCAGUGGUGGAGGAUUACUGUAAGGGGGUGGAGAGAACCUGUUGGAGAGCGAGGAGAACUGAGUCAGAUGAGCUAUCGGCUGCUGCUGUCUCCCAUUGAGACACUGAUCUGCUGUUUGAUGCAAGGAGAGAACAGGCUUGCUGCAACCCCCAGAAUAGUCUUGUUUACAAGGACAAAGUGCCAGGACAUUGGCAAAGUGGUAGAAACACUCUAUGGAGAAAACCCACCUCCGAUCAUGAUGAUUGGACACAGCAUGGGUGGAGCUAUAGCAGUUCAUACCGCUGCAGCAAACCACGUGCCGUCUUUACUUGGCCUGUGUGUGAUUGAUGUUGUGGAAGGCACAGCAAUGGAUGCCUUAAACAGUAUGCAGAAUUUCCUCAGGAGUCGGCCAAAGACCUUUAAGUCUGUGGAGAAUGCCAUUGAGUGGAGUGUGAAGAGUGGACAGAUCCGAAACGUUGAGUCAGCCCGGGUGUCCAUGGGAGGCCAGGUGAAAAAAUGUGAGGAACCCCUCAACAGUCCAGGCGUCUCCAAGAGCAUCAUAGACGGCAUCAUUGAAGAGGAGGAGGAGGAGGAAGAGGAAGGAGAAUCCAACCACAAAAGAAAGAAGGAGGAUGACCAAGAGGUGAAGAAGGAUACCCUUUAUACCUGGCAGAUUGAUCUAUCAAAGACAGAGAAGUACUGGGAGGGCUGGUUCAGUGGCCUGUCUGCCCUAUUCCUUUCCUGUCCUGUGCCAAAACUGCUCCUGCUCGCUGGUGUGGACAGGCUUGACAAAGAUCUCACAAUUGGACAGAUGCAAGGGAAGUUCCAGAUGCAGGUGCUCCCUCAGUGUGGCCAUGCUGUCCAUGAGGACGCCCCUGAAAAAGUAGCAGAUGCUCUGGCCUCGUUCAUGGUCCGUCACAAGUUCACUGAAUUUAAGGAGGGUUUCCUGUGAGAACGACAGGGUGUUGUCCAGGGUCACACCAAGGUUCUUUGCACUCUCGGAGGGAGACACUGGAGUUGUCAACCGUGAUGGAUAGGUCUUUGAGCGGGCAGGCCUUCCCUGGGAGGAAGAUCAGCUCCGUCUUGUGGAGAAGAGGAGCGGGCUUAGAACCGAGCCCCGGGGUACACCAGUUGUGACUAACGGGACUCAAAUCAACUACAUAGACAAGUGCCAGUUUUGCCCUGGACCCAUCCAGCAGUCAUGGAGGAGAUGCCUGGAGCCUCAAGGACACCAUCUUCUGCCAAAUACCCCCAACUGUGAUAAAAUAAUGUUCAUGAGCACUAUAUAACACUAUACAAAAUUCUCAGCACUUAAAUUGGUAAAAAAAAUAUAAUUUAAAUGUAUUGUUAUUAUUACUAUUACUUAUACUUUGACACUUAUGGUUUUGCCUUUUUUUUUUUUUUUGAAAGCAGGUAUUUUGUUUCACCCAUCCCACUCAACAUUUUUUAUUUUCAUUCCCUGUGAUGCCUUUCCUGUUUCUUGUUACAUUUCGGCCAGCUGCAUCUUGUUGUGCUAUGUGUUUAAUGUUGUUGGAUUUUAAGAAUGAUUAAUAAAAAUGGAAAAGGAA